This 831-nucleotide long non-coding RNA is filed under the name Linum usitatissimum (flax). RNAcentral's name for it is "long non-coding RNA (LUSI_LNC002707)". The record is from RNAcentral. Lineage: Eukaryota; Viridiplantae; Streptophyta; Magnoliopsida; Malpighiales; Linaceae.
CCAUUCUCUUAUUCCACAAGAUUGAACACAUGCAUAUAUGAUACCUCCAUCCCACCCACCUAACGGCGGCCAUUUCUAAUUCUCAGCUCCAGCCGCCAUCUUGUCACCCUGCUGCUCCUUGCCGCGGAGGCCGCCAGCUGCUGCUGCAUUAUACUUGUCCUGACUACCUUCCUUGCCGAAUAUGAGAAAGAAGGGGGGGACCAGUAUACCAUCGCUCUCCUCCUGGUCGCGGAGGGCGCCAGCUGCUGCGGCAUUAUUAUACUUGUGGCCGAUAUCCUGACAACCUUCCUUGCCGAAUAUGACAAAGAAGGGGGGGAUCAACAUACCAUCGCUCUCCUCCUGGUCGCGGAGGGCAGCUGCUCCAUUAUACUUGUCCUGACUACCUUCCUUGCCGAAUAUAAAUAAGGGGAAGACCAACAUACCAUCGCUCUCCUCCUGGUUGCGGAGGCCGCCAUCCUUUCCAGAAAUAGGAGACAAGGUACUAGUAGCAGCAGCAACUGCUCCUUUCGGGUAGGGACGUUUGCAUGAGACAGCUGCUGCUUUCACUGUUGUUGUUGUCUUGGGAGUAAUGAAAAGGUCUGCUGGUGCCUUGUUGUUCCUGGAGGAGGAUGGUGGGAAGGCAUUAUUAUUACGGCCGGCGGCGGUAGCAACUAGGCUAGUGGUCAGAGCCAGAGAGGACACAACAGCCAUGGUAACUUAUAACUAGGGAUGGACGAUUGAUGUGAUAUGAUAGCUGGUGGUGGUGGCUGAUACGUAGUGAAAUAUAGCAAGCAAUUUAUACCGUCAGUUGCUAUAAUUGUUUUAUAAAUUUUACGACGGGUGGCUAAACAU